CGGUGGGUGGAGUGGUGCGUUUGGUUACUUCUGUUAACGAAUGAGACCGGAGCUAAAUCUAAAUCCCAGAGACCGGAAAAG
Molecule: ribosomal RNA, 81 nt
Filed under: uncultured eukaryote
Lineage: Eukaryota
Description: partial 18S ribosomal RNA
Source: RNAcentral